Molecule: long non-coding RNA, 269 nt
Filed under: Bos taurus (domestic cattle)
Lineage: Eukaryota; Metazoa; Chordata; Mammalia; Artiodactyla; Bovidae
Description: long non-coding RNA NONBTAT023228
Source: RNAcentral
GAGCUUCAAUUAGGAUUUUAUGUUGUUACAACUUAAACAGUGAAUGAGAAAACAAAUACAUGAUUUUUCAACUAAGGAAGAUUUACUUAGGUAGAGUUUUCCUGUUUUGAACUAAUGGAAAAAUUUUUCAAAAUACAGUACAGAGAGUGACACAAUGGAUACCUAUACGCAAUUACUAAAUUACUAAAUGUUGCCACAUCUUCAUUCCAUUUUUGUCUUGUGAAAUACUGCCGGGCACAGCCCUUGAAGUUUCAUUCCUGUACUCUUCA